This 65-nucleotide transfer RNA is filed under the name uncultured eukaryote. The record is from RNAcentral.
GAAUCAAAAAAAGCCCAAAAAAAGGCAAAAAAAAACAUAAUUUCUGAGACAAUAAACAGCAAAAC